Molecule: long non-coding RNA, 215 nt
Filed under: Physcomitrium patens
Lineage: Eukaryota; Viridiplantae; Streptophyta; Bryopsida; Funariales; Funariaceae
Description: long non-coding RNA (PPAT_LNC010717)
Source: RNAcentral
ACUUUGUGAAGCUGAACAUGACCAACACAAGAUUUGUUAUUACUGUUUACUUUGAUAAUAUUAUAAACAAUUGCUAUAACAAUCCUCUCUUAAUGCAACUACAGAUCCUCUUGGCAGUUUGCAUCUUUGUUCAUCUUGCUAACUGCGCUUCAAUUUGUGGAAGUUUCAAGAUAUGAUCUGCUUAUAUUUAAGAUUCUUUGAAUUUGAGCAAAAUU